AGAGUUUGAUCCUGGCUCAGAUUGAACGCUGGCGGCAUGCCUUACACAUGCAAGUCGAACGGUAACAGGUCUUCGGAUGCUGACGAGUGGCGAACGGGUGAGUAAUACAUCGGAACGUGCCCAGUAAUGGGGGAUAGCUCGGCGAAAGCCGGAUUAAUACCGCAUACGCCCUGAGGGGGAAAGUGGGGGACCGCAAGGCCCCACGUUAUUGGAGCGGCCGAUGGCUGAUUAGCUAGUUGGUAGGGUAAAGGCCUACCAAGGCGACGAUCAGUAGCUGGUCUGAGAGGACGAUCAGCCACACUGGGACUGAGACACGGCCCAGACUCCUACGGGAGGCAGCAGUGGGGAAUUUUGGACAAUGGGGGAAACCCUGAUCCAGCAAUGCCGCGUGUGCGAAGAAGGCCUUCGGGUUGUAAAGCACUUUUGUCAGGGAAGAAAUCCUUUGGGCUAAUACCCUAGGGGGAUGACGGUACCUGAAGAAUAAGCACCGGCUAACUACGUGCCAGCAGCCACGGUAAUACGUAGGGUGCAAGCGUUAAUCGGAAUUACUGGGCGUAAAGCGUGCGCAGGCGGUUGUGUAAGACAGGUGUGAAAUCCCCGGGCUUAACCUGGGAAUUGCAUUUGUGACUGCACGACUAGAGUGUGUCAGAGGGGGGUGGAAUUCCACGUGUAGCAGUGAAAUGCGUAGAUAUGUGGAGGAACACCAAUGGCGAAGGCAGCCCCCUGGGAUAACACUGACGCUCAUGCACGAAAGCGUGGGGAGCAAACAGGAUUAGAUACCCCGGUAGUCC
Molecule: ribosomal RNA, 791 nt
Filed under: uncultured bacterium
Lineage: Bacteria
Description: bacterial SSU rRNA
Rfam family: Bacterial small subunit ribosomal RNA
Source: RNAcentral